CCUACGGGAGGCAGCAGUGAGGAAUAUUGGUCAAUGGGCGCGAGCCUGAACCAGCCAAGUAGCGUGAAGGAUGACUGCCCUACGGGUUGUAAACCUCUUUUAUAAGGGAAUAAAGUGAGUCACGUGUGCCUUUUUGUAUGUACCUUAUGAAUAAGGAUCGGCUAACUCCGUGCCAGCAGCCGCGGUAAUACGGAGGAUCCGAGCGUUAUCCGGAUUUAUUGGGUUUAAAGGGUGCGUAGGUGGGGUGUUAAGUCAGUUGUGAAAGUUUGCGGCUCAACCGUAAAAUUGCAGUUGAAACUGGCGGGCUUGAGUACAGUUGAGGUAGGCGGAAUUCGUGGUGUAGCGGUGAAAUGCUUAGAUAUCACGAAGAACUCCGAUUGCGAAGGCAGCUUACUAACCUGCCACUGACGUUGAUGCUCGAAAGUGUGGGUAUCAAACAGGAUUAGAUACCCGGGUAGUC
Molecule: ribosomal RNA, 460 nt
Filed under: uncultured bacterium
Lineage: Bacteria
Description: partial 16S ribosomal RNA
Rfam family: Bacterial small subunit ribosomal RNA
Source: RNAcentral